GGGAGUCAAUACUUUGUUCUUUGAACCAACUCUGCUGAAUUUUUAUUGUCAGAAUAACUUCUAUCAUGUACGGUAACAGCCUAAUUAAAAAGGAUAGCUAAAAUCUGCAAUGAUUAUCAUCCUGUAGGAUAACUUCCCAAUGUUACAUCCACAAAUGAAAUACGAGGAUGGUUUAGUGCGUUAUGUUUUCUUCUUGAAUUUCCUCUGUGCCUUCAAAUCGACCACAAUCACAGAUAUAUUAUCUCUGCUGCCCCUUUGGAGAGCAACUCGAGUCAAGUACUCUGCAGCAUCUUGAGCAGCAGGAUCUACGUUUUCACCCCUUUCCCUACUCAAAGUACCACCAUUUUUUUUGUGCCAGAGAAGAAUUCGUCUCCGUGCUACAUCACAAGCUUCUUCAUUUGUCAAGACAUCCCAUAGCCCAUCACUUGCUAAAAUUAGACAGUCGUCUUCUUUUGCUCGGGGUACAAACAUCAUUUCUGGAUCUGGAAUCACAUAAGGCCUUAAAUAUCGAUCACCAAUUGACCUUGAAACUGCAAGAACACCAGAAACGCGAUGUCCAUCCCAAUUAAUGACCUUCCCUCCCAGUUCUUCUAUUCGUGAACACUCAUCUUCCCUAUUUGGCUUAUGGUCAAUGGUUAAUGGCAUGGGCAGUUUUCCCCGACAAAGGACUGCCCUAGAAUCACCACAAUUCGCAACAAUAAUAUGGCUUGGACUAACAACAGCAACUAUAGCUGUAGAUCCAACUGCUUCAGGAGCAAUGACUGAAAGGUCAGGCUCAAUCCCGUCUGUUUCACUACAGAACCCCCCUACCUCAUCAUCGACUCUACAGAAACAAUUCAAGAAAGCCUUUGACCAUUGCUCCUUCCAGUUAACACUUCCAUUAUGUGGAUCCUCU
RNAcentral lists this unclassified non-coding RNA (895 nucleotides) under Hevea brasiliensis (rubber tree). The record is from RNAcentral. Lineage: Eukaryota; Viridiplantae; Streptophyta; Magnoliopsida; Malpighiales; Euphorbiaceae.